Molecule: ribosomal RNA, 75 nt
Filed under: Pelobates cultripes (western spadefoot toad)
Lineage: Eukaryota; Metazoa; Chordata; Amphibia; Anura; Pelobatidae
Description: SSU_rRNA_eukarya
Source: RNAcentral
CCUAUAAACUUUCGAUGGUACUUUCUGCGCCUACCACGGUGACCAUGGGUAACGGGGAAUCCGGGUUCGAUUCUG